Molecule: long non-coding RNA, 2294 nt
Organism: Solea senegalensis (Senegalese sole)
Lineage: Eukaryota; Metazoa; Chordata; Actinopteri; Pleuronectiformes; Soleidae
Exons: 3
Source: RefSeq, a predicted model, not a curated record
GCAGUGUCUCUCCUUCCAUGUGUGCAGACACCCUCAGUGACCUGGCUGGUGACCUCUGAUUCAACAGGGAGGUCAAGCCGUGAACAGUUGAUGCAGAUAACACUGAACAGCCUCUCGCCACCACCACAGUGUGAUACGUGUGUGGGAGGGGGAAACACCAGAGCGGUGGUUAACGCUCGUAUCAUGACGUAUAUCUGACAUGGCUGCAAUAUGGCGGAAGAGAUUUGAGCUCACCUCGGCUCCCCUCUCACUGCCUGGCCGUGUAUGAGGCGAGAUUGCACGAGUCGUGAUGAGCAGGAGGAACCAAAUAAAAGGUUAUCACAGAAAUCCAGUCAUCGCGCGUCAGUUAAUUGUCAGCUCUGCUAUGAAGCAGGGGCACUUCUUUUGCCUGCUGAUAAGGUUGCGCUCUGCUGAACCGUUGCGUCUGUGCAAGGGCUUAGACGAGGGAAAGAGAGGCUCUGGUUGCAGCAACACCCCCUAGGUGAGGGCUCUCAGGGCCCGCGUUAUCUCACAACAGAGCGAGAGGAAAGCGAAAGCCCUGCAGUUUUGUUCGCGGUCGUAUCUGUGGACGCACAAUCCUCUCUGUAGAUAAUGAGCAUCAGGGACAAACAGCCAGUUUCAGGCAUCACUCAGGUGUGAAACUGUGAACCGACAAUGGUCUUCACGGCCUGUGGUUCUCUUAAGAAACAGGGCAAAUUGUAUUUAUACUAUUUCCACCUUAUUUGAAUUAAAUGGCGCUGAUUUGUGAUGAGCUCAAGUCGUUUUUCUUUAAAGCUGCAGUGCGUAACCUCAGGUGAUAUUUGACGUCGUCAUUAUUCUGCCUCGGUUUGGUCUUCACAAACCAAAAUGAUAAAACUUUAUUCUUAUGUUGUUUCCUUCACUGGAAAAUUAGCUCCGUCAUACAAAACUACAAGACCUGAAUGAGGGAGUGUUUGUGUGUAUACAGCAGCACCACAGGGGCGGGCGGGCACGAGAUGCAUUUAUGACAUCAAAGUUUCUUUUUUUGUUUCUUUGAGCAGUAGAAUUCACUUUUUGUGGCCAUUUUUUGUGUUUUCAGUCAUAUUCCAAGCUGUCUGCAGUCACCUCACUGUACUACACUGCAGGACUGUUGCCGGGUGACACAAGAUCUAAACACAGGUGGAGUCUUAAAGAUCCAGUGUAUGAGAAAGAGUGACAUCUAAUGAUGAGACUGCAACAGACGGACAAACCCUCAACUCAUCCCUUUUCCCAAGCACAUCAGGGAACUACAGUGACCUUUGCUUACCAGAAAAGGGGGACUGUUUUCUUUUUUGCGCUCCAGAUGGGGGCGCCUGACUGUUGAGCUGGCACGGAGCCGUCUGCAGGGGGAUGUCAGUUGUGACUUUCCAGUAACAGCAAGGGCGUGUUGUUCUCCGUGUGCAUAUCUCUUGUACACGCGUGUACGUGCGAGCAGAGGACGACAGGGAGCCCGGUCACAACGAGAGGACAAAAGCAGACGGAUGAUGCAGUCAGUAAUGUGGAACUCAUGCUAUGCAUUGAGUCUACCGGGCACUUUUAACCCCCCAUACUUUCUGAUUGAUUCAGUGCCCACUCAUCUAGAUUGGAUGUUGGACGCCCCCUUCCCCCCCUUCAUGAAAGUCAUCCAAAUAUCAUUAGGUCUAAAGCCACCAUGUGGUUUUGGUUGAGAAUGUGAGGCGUACAUGCAUGCAUGCACAGCCCGAGGAUGUUUCUCCACUCAGGCCAUCCAUGAGGCAAACUAAUGUUCUCUGCUCCCACACAGACGGAGAGAAAACACGUUAAUAUACAACUUGAGCGAGCUCACGAGGAACGAGAUGCUCCACGUCUGUUGACAGAAACAGAACCCGGCAGGAUUUAAUCAUCGCGUCGGUCAUUAUUCCAGGGCUGAAUGAGCACGUCUUAUUAAAAUGUUCAGAGUUAGACAAAGACGUACUGUAAAUGUGGAUUAAAUUGAGAGGCUGGACUGUGUUUUUUUUUAAUUUAAUCCUCUUCCUCUUGACAUGAGCAUUGUUCCAAAGGGGAAAGGAAAACAUCUCAGCUUUUUUUUUUUCUUCUGUUGUUCUUAUGCCCUCCUUCCUUUCUAGGCAAAAGGAAGUGGGCAGUGUGUGCAUGAGUGUGUUUAAGGAAGUGUUCUCCUCGGAAAAUAAUGGCAGCAAAGUCACAUUAACAGCCAGACAUUUCCUCUGCAUUUUCCCUGUGCCCUAUAUUUAUACUCUACUCUCUCUCUCUCUCUCACACACACACACACACACACACACACACACUGCAUGCCACUGAGUUUAUUCACUUUUCACCAC